RNAcentral lists this long non-coding RNA (287 nucleotides) under Carica papaya (papaya). Its description in RNAcentral is "long non-coding RNA (CPAP_LNC001588)". The record is from RNAcentral. Lineage: Eukaryota; Viridiplantae; Streptophyta; Magnoliopsida; Brassicales; Caricaceae.
CACGUCACGUGUCAUGCACCCAGCUCUGCGUGCUGUUCACCUAGCACUGCGCGUUGCGCUGCGUUGUGUGCUGUUCACCUAGCAUUGCAUGCUGUUCACUGGCACGUUGUGCCCCUGGCACUGCGCACCGUGUGCUCAGCACUGCACGUAAUUCUGCCUUUCCCACUGCGUGCACCGCACGCCCUACUUUCUUCCUCUUCUUUCUCCUUCUCGUUCUUCUUUUUCUUUUCCUUCUUCUUCUUCUUUUUCUUCUUCUUCUUGUUCUUCUUAUUCUUCUUCUUCUUCCU